CAACAGGGAUUGCCUCAGUAACGGCGAGUGAAGCGGCAACAGCUCAAAUUUGAAAUCUGAAGUUUACUUCCGAGUUGUAAUUUGAAGAGGAUGCUUCGGUUGUAGCUCCGGCCUAAGUUCCUUGGAACAGGACGUCGCAGAGGGUGAGAAUCCCGUACGCGGCUGGCGGCUUACUUCCAUGUGUAGCUCCUUCGAAGAGUCGAGUUGUUUGGGAAUGCAGCUCUAAAUGGGUGGUAAAUUUCAUCUAAAGCUAAAUACUGGCGAGAGACCGAUAGCGCACAAGUAGAGUGAUCGAAAGAUGAAAAGCACUUUGAAAAGAGAGUUAAACAGUACGUGAAAUUGUUGAAAGGGAAGCGCUUGCAAUCAGACUUGCUUUCUGUUGAUCAACGUUCCUUUUGGUUCGUGCACUCUGCAGUUUGCAGGCCAGCAUCGGUUGCGGCGGCGGGACAAAGACUCAGGGAAUGUGGCUGCCUUCGGGCAGUGUUAUAGCCCUGCGUGUAAUGCCGCCUGCCGCGAUCGAGGACCGCGCUUCGGCUAGGAUGCUGGCUUAAUGGUUGUAAGCGACCCGUCUUGAAACACGGACCAAGGAGUCUAACAUCUAUGCGAGUGUUUGGGUGUCAAACCCAUACGCGUAAUGAAAGUGAACGGAGGUGGGAGUCUUCGGAUGCACCAUCGACCGAUCCUGAUGUUUUCGGAUGGAUUUGAGUAUGAGCAUAGCUGUUGGGACCCGAAAGAUGGUGAACUAUGCCUGAAUAGGGUGAAGCCAGAGGAAACUCUGGUGGAGGCUCGCAGCGGUUCUGACGUGCAAAUCGAUCGUCAAAUUUGGGUAUAGGG
RNAcentral lists this ribosomal RNA (834 nucleotides) under Orbilia sp. RNAcentral's name for it is "LSU rRNA". It matches the Rfam family "Eukaryotic large subunit ribosomal RNA", at positions 66 to 922 of the family's 3401-position model. The record is from RNAcentral. Lineage: Eukaryota; Fungi; Ascomycota; Orbiliomycetes; Orbiliales; Orbiliaceae.